RNAcentral lists this non-coding RNA (30 nucleotides) under Mus musculus (house mouse). Lineage: Eukaryota; Metazoa; Chordata; Mammalia; Rodentia; Muridae. The record is from RNAcentral.
UCCAACCCCUGAUACUGUUGUGUGGAUAAG